RNAcentral lists this ribosomal RNA (254 nucleotides) under uncultured bacterium. RNAcentral describes it as "partial 16S ribosomal RNA". It matches the Rfam family "Bacterial small subunit ribosomal RNA", at positions 524 to 776 of the family's 1533-position model. The record is from RNAcentral.
UACGUAGGGUGCAGGCGUUAAUCGGAAUUACUGGGCGUAAAGCGUGCGCAGGCGGUUUUGUAAGUCUGUCGUGAAAUCCCCGGGCUCAACCUGGGAAUUGCAUCUGUGACUGCAUAGCUAGAGUACGGUAGAGGGGGAUGGAAUUCCGCGUGUAGCAGUGAAAUGCGUAGAUAUGCGGAGGAACACCGAUGGCGAAGGCAAUCCCCUGGACCUGUACUGACGCUCAUGCACGAAAGGCGUGGGGAGCAAACAGG